CCUUUCUUUUGCAAAAAAACAGAGAGAGCAGCCCUAUUCUCCCCAUUUCAUUCUCUGCUAGGGUUUCAAAAGAAACCCAUUUGUUGCGCUGUCGCCUCGACUGCUACUCCUCCGCCAUGGACGGUGGCCGAACACUCCAGGUGAUGGGAUGAUGGGAUGGAGGCAGUGCAAGUGGAGCAAGUGGAGGUGUGGGUGGUGACAGACUUUGGUGGCUAGGGUUUUCCUUUUUGGCUGAAAAUUAGUUAAGGUUGUGGGCUGAUUUGGGCUUUGUAAUUGGGUCUAGAGUUUGGUUUUGGGCCGGGCAUAAUUUGGGCUAUACAAUAAGUGUCAUGGUUUUAUUUUAUAAAUAAAUUACAUUAUAAUAUAA
Molecule: long non-coding RNA, 367 nt
Organism: Gossypium arboreum
Lineage: Eukaryota; Viridiplantae; Streptophyta; Magnoliopsida; Malvales; Malvaceae
Exons: 2
Source: RefSeq, a predicted model, not a curated record